UUUUUGACUAUUGGAAUUUAAAUCCGUUUCUCUGAUUUGAAGCUACUCUCUCCUGUUUUCUGCCCUGUGUUAUUCCUUCAUUUUUGAAGAAAUACAGUGUGUCAGAUCUCAAAACUCUGCCAACGAAUUGGGACAGUCCAAAUGGUCAAGUAGAAAAAGACUCAAAAAUGAAACUAUGUUUACUGUUCUUGCUGCCACGGGGAACACUAAUCAGGAACCCCUUCAUUAUUCCACUGAAAAAAAGUUUAUUGCACACCUGGAUGCCUUCUACAACUAUUCUGAUGAAGCUCUGGCACACGUGAUUCCCACAUUUUCCAAGGCUCUUCAAGGCUCCAAGCCCUGAGGAAUUCUGUGACUUCACACUUGCUCAAAAUAUGAAUCUGAAAAUAAAAUUAAUCUAUGGAAUAUAAAAAAGUCAGUUGAAAAGACUCAAUGACAUGGACCCUUCUGUAAGUGAGCAGCAAAGCAUUAACUGGUCUUAAGAGACUUCCAUCGGCAGCCAGGUGCCUUGCAGUUCCCAGGAGUUCUAGAUCCCAGACUCCCUCGGCAUCAUCUUCCUGGAAACACUGCUUCAGGGUCAUUACCACAAAGAGAGAAGUGUUCAAAAGCACAGGAAAUUGAAGUUUGGAAAUAUCCAGUAACUUGCUGGCCCAGUGUUAUGUCAUAUGGUUGGUAAGUGGCACAUCCAGGACUUUGACCCAGGCCCCAGUCUUCCUGGUAGGUCAAGACACUGAGCUGGAAAGACGGAUUCCAAGCGAGAUCUUUGCAUCGCUGUUCCCAAGUACCAGCUGUGGAAAAAUCUGUAACUUUCGUUACAGACAGGUGUAUUGGGCAAAGUCUGAGCCAAGCUGGCCCUGAGGUGUUAUUGUUCCUGCCCUCCAGUGGCUUUCUUUCUUUUUUUUUUUUUUUAAAUUUUUUUUUUAACAUUUAUUUAUUUUUGAGACAGAGAGA
Long non-coding RNA from Leopardus geoffroyi (Geoffroy's cat), 951 nucleotides. RefSeq lists it as uncharacterized. The record is from RefSeq and is a predicted model, not a curated record. NCBI's taxonomy places the organism in Eukaryota, Metazoa, Chordata, Mammalia, Carnivora, Felidae. The transcript is spliced from 4 exons.